This 66-nucleotide transfer RNA is filed under the name Nycteribia formosana. RNAcentral's name for it is "tRNA-Glu". The record is from RNAcentral. Lineage: Eukaryota; Metazoa; Arthropoda; Insecta; Diptera; Nycteribiidae.
AUUUAUAUAGUUUCAUUAAAACUUUAUAUUUUCAUUAUAAAAUUAGAAAUUUAUUUCUUAUAAAUA